This 73-nucleotide transfer RNA is filed under the name Japalura variegata. Its description in RNAcentral is "tRNA-Asn". The record is from RNAcentral. Lineage: Eukaryota; Metazoa; Chordata; Lepidosauria; Squamata; Agamidae.
CAGGACCAGUGGGUAUCGAUCCCACAAAAUGACAGUUAACAGCUGACUACCCAAUCCAGAGAGCUAUAGUCCG